The submitters of this non-coding RNA (64 nucleotides) gave its source as unclassified sequences. The record is from Rfam.
CGACCGCCGAGCCCUUGAAAAAGGGGGAGGCCAAGGCCACACGGACAGCCGGGUCGAAUGCCGA